GGGUUGUGAGGUUAAGCGACUAAGCGUACACGGUGGAUGCCCUGGCAGUCAGAGGCGAUGAAGGACGUGCUAAUCUGCGAUAAGCGCCGGUAAGGUGAUAUGAACCGUUAUAACCGGCGAUUUCCGAAUGGGGAAACCCAGUGUGAUUCGUCACACUAUCAUUAACUGAAUCCAUAGGUUAAUGAGGCGAACCGGGGGAACUGAAACAUCUAAGUACCCCGAGGAAAAGAAAUCAACCGAGAUUCCCCCAGUAGCGGCGAGCGAACGGGGAGGAGCCCAGAGCCUGAAUCAGCAUGUGUGUUAGUGGAAGCGUCUGGAAAGGCGCGCGAUACAGGGUGACAGCCCCGUACACAAAAGCGCAUGUGCUGUGAGCUCGAUGAGUAGGGCGGGACACGUGGUAUCCUGUCUGAAUAUGGGGGGACCAUCCUCCAAGGCUAAAUACUCCUGACUGACCGAUAGUGAACCAGUACCGUGAGGGAAAGGCGAAAAGAACCCCGGCGAGGGGAGUGAAAAAGAACCUGAAACCGUGUACGUACAAGCAGUGGGAGCCCCACCACUAAGCCAGUGGUGAACUCCACAUACGCAUCCUUUGCUGAGGAUACGGUUAACGGAGCGAAAGCGACGUUCAACCUCAAAAGAAGCAGAGGGGGCUUAGUGGUGGGGUGACUGCGUACCUUUUGUAUAAUGGGUCAGCGACUUAUAUUCUGUAGCAAGGUUAACCGAAUAGGGGAGCCGGAGGGAAACCGAGUCUUAAUUGGGCGUUAA
Molecule: ribosomal RNA, 765 nt
Filed under: Salmonella enterica
Lineage: Bacteria; Pseudomonadati; Pseudomonadota; Gammaproteobacteria; Enterobacterales; Enterobacteriaceae
Description: bacterial LSU rRNA
Rfam family: Bacterial large subunit ribosomal RNA
Source: RNAcentral